Molecule: ribosomal RNA, 254 nt
Filed under: uncultured bacterium
Lineage: Bacteria
Description: partial 16S ribosomal RNA
Rfam family: Bacterial small subunit ribosomal RNA
Source: RNAcentral
GACAGAGGAGGCAAGCGUUGUCCGGACUUACUGGGCGUAAAGCGUCCGCAGGUGGUCGUGCAAGUGCGCUGUGAAAGCGCUCGGCUUAACUGAGCGAGGCCAAUGCAGACUGCACGACUCGAGACCGGGAGAGGUCGGUGGAAUUGCCGGUGUAGUGGUGAAAUGCGUAGAGAUCGGGAGGAACACCAGUGGCGAAGGCGACUACCUGGCCUGUUUCUUGACGCUGAGGCGCGAAAGCUAGGGGAGCAAACGGG